Long non-coding RNA from Motacilla alba alba, 1285 nucleotides. RefSeq lists it as uncharacterized. Lineage: Eukaryota; Metazoa; Chordata; Aves; Passeriformes; Motacillidae. The transcript has 2 exons. The record is from RefSeq and is a predicted model, not a curated record.
AGGUUUAUUGAGCAAAAUUUCUGGAGGGGUAAAGGUUUGCAUGUCCAUCCCGAACUUUCUGAUCACACAGCUGCCUUCUGGAUGGGAAGUGCAAAGGCAGAGGUGCUGGAUUGGUGCUCCUGCUCUGCAGACACCCUCUGCUUCAUAAUUCCAACAGGCUGAUGCCAAACCUCACGGGAUCCCAAUGAAGAAAGGGAAGAAAAAAAAAUUAAUUUAACAAAGAAAGGAGAACAGAUUAAAUCAUGGAGGAUAUAUUACACUGAGCAAAUGGAGUAACAGCCUGAUUGAACACAGACAGGGUUCGCUCAGAAACCCUUCUUUCUUUACAAGUGGAACUUUAACGAGCUGACCAGGUCUGAGGUAAGUCAGGCUUUUUCUCCAUUCUGCAGAUUUUUUGGUUUAUUAUUUUCUCCCCUGACUGAGUGCUGGUUGCAACAGAUUAACAGGUCACCGGACUGGCCCAGAGAAUUGCUGCCAAUUACCUCGUCCCCGCCUGUUGCUCUACAGUCUAAUGGCAUCAUUUAACAUGCGCCUCUGUCCCCGCCGCCCGGCUGGUGACACCAACAAACAGCGCGGCUGGGAUGAAUCUGCCUGGGCAGGGUGAGCAGGAGCCCGCAAAGGGACACGGAGGUGUCGGGCCCUGCCCAGCCGGGAGCAGCGGGGCCGCUCCGCUCGCCCCGGUCCGAGUGUCCGAGACCGAGCCUCAGCUCUUCCCCCUCAGACAGCAGCGACGGCGAGAGACAUCUGAACCAACACCGCAUCGUUUACUUACAGAAUUGACAGCCCUUCCACUCGAACUGGUUUAAAUUAGUCGACGCCACAUUCUUUUCCUUCUGUGUGUUUUGUUUUCCGCCUUUUUUUUUUUUUCUUUCUUUCCCCCCUUUAAAUAGGGAUAGAAAACUGCGCUGUUUCACCCAGCCGAACGCGAAACGGUCCGGCGGAGGGGAGGGAGAGGCGGCGGGGUGAGCGAGGGAGAUGGGAUGCGCAGGCAGGAGAUGCGCGCCCGCGGGAGGCUGCGGAGCGCUCCGCGGGUGCGGGUCCCGCCCGGGCUGGGCAGCGCUUCUCACCCCUGGCUUCCUCACGGGAACUCCCGGACUUGUGCGGAUGGAAAAGUGGGGGCAUUAAAAUCAAAUUACAGGCAUGUAUAAAGACAGAGCCCUUCGCUGGCAGCAGGAAUGAUUAAACGGAGCAGCUCGGGAAAGCUCCUGUAUGAAUAUUUCAUGGGAAAUGAUGCGAUCCCCCCCAAGGUACAAGGGCCCUCCUUAAUUAAACUGGUGUAAACGUU